Molecule: ribosomal RNA, 451 nt
Filed under: Aquipseudomonas alcaligenes
Lineage: Bacteria; Pseudomonadati; Pseudomonadota; Gammaproteobacteria; Pseudomonadales; Pseudomonadaceae
Description: bacterial SSU rRNA
Rfam family: Bacterial small subunit ribosomal RNA
Source: RNAcentral
GCGGCAGGCCUAACACAUGCAAGUCGAGCGGAUGAGUGGAGCUUGCUCCAUGAUUCAGCGGCGGACGGGUGAGUAAUGCCUAGGAAUCUGCCUGGUAGUGGGGGACAACGUUUCGAAAGGAACGCUAAUACCGCAUACGUCCUACGGGAGAAAGCAGGGGACCUUCGGGCCUUGCGCUAUCAGAUGAGCCUAGGUCGGAUUAGCUAGUAGGUGAGGUAAUGGCUCACCUAGGCGACGAUCCGUAACUGGUCUGAGAGGAUGAUCAGUCACACUGGAACUGAGACACGGUCCAGACUCCUACGGGAGGCAGCAGUGGGGAAUAUUGGACAAUGGGCGAAAGCCUGAUCCAGCCAUGCCGCGUGUGUGAAGAAGGUCUUCGGAUUGUAAAGCACUUUAAGUUGGGAGGAAGGGCAGUAAGUUAAUACCUUGCUGUUUUGACGUACCAACAGAA